This 496-nucleotide ribosomal RNA is filed under the name uncultured bacterium. Its description in RNAcentral is "partial 16S ribosomal RNA". It matches the Rfam family "Bacterial small subunit ribosomal RNA", at positions 28 to 506 of the family's 1533-position model. The record is from RNAcentral.
GAUGAACGCUGGCGGCGUGCCUAAUACAUGCAAGUCGAGCGAACAGACGAGGAGCUUGCUCCUCUGACGUUAGCGGCGGACGGGUGAGUAACACGUGGAUAACCUACCUAUAAGACUGGGAUAACUUCGGGAAACCGGAGCUAAUACCGGAUAAUAUAUUGAACCGCAUGGUUCAAUAGUGAAAGACGGUUUUGCUGUCACUUAUAGAUGGAUCCGCGCCGCAUUAGCUAGUUGGUAAGGUAACGGCUUACCAAGGCAACGAUGCGUAGCCGACCUGAGAGGGUGAUCGGCCACACUGAAACUGAGAUACGGUCCAGACUCCUACGGGAGGCAGCAGUAGGGAAUCUUCCGCAAUGGGCGAAAGCUUGACGGAGCAACGCCGCGUGAGUGAUGAAGGUCUUCGGAUCGUAAAACUCUGUUAUUAGGGAAGAACAAAUGUGUAAGUAACUAUGCACGUCUUGACGGUACCUAAUCAGAAAGCCACGGCUAACUACGU